UACAGAGGUCUCAAGCGUUGUUCGGAUUCAUUGGGCGUAAAGGGUGCGUAGGCGGCGCGGUAAGUCGGGUGUGAAAUCUCGGAGCUUAACUCCGAAACUGCAUUCGAUACUGUCGUGCUAGAGUACAGAAGGGGCAACUGGAAUUCUCGGUGUAGCGGUGAAAUGCGUAGAUAUCGAGAGGAACACCUGCGGCGAAGGCGGGUUGCUGGGCUGAUACUGACGCUGAGGCGCGAAAGCCAGGGGAGCGAACGGG
Molecule: ribosomal RNA, 253 nt
Filed under: uncultured bacterium
Lineage: Bacteria
Description: partial 16S ribosomal RNA
Rfam family: Bacterial small subunit ribosomal RNA
Source: RNAcentral